CCUAUUAUUUAAGAGGUAAAUAUUGUUAGUAAAUAAAAAUUACGAAAGCAAAAAAUUAUGGCGGUAUUUUAAGCUUUUCAGAGGAAUUUGCUCUUUAAUGGAUAAAACACCUGAAUCUUACUUAAAUUUGUUAAUUCAAUUUGUAUACCACUAUAAAAACAAUUAAUAACUUUAAUUGUUUAAACUUAUUAAAUUAAAUUAUAUUAAGUCAAGGUGCAGUAAAAAUUUAAGAAUGAAGUGAAUUACAUUUCUUUUUAGAGAAAGAAAUUUAAAUAACAUUUAGGAUUUGAAAGUAAAAUUGAAAUAGAAUGUCAAUU
Molecule: ribosomal RNA, 317 nt
Filed under: Rhipicephalus sanguineus (brown dog tick)
Lineage: Eukaryota; Metazoa; Arthropoda; Arachnida; Ixodida; Ixodidae
Description: partial 12S ribosomal RNA
Source: RNAcentral